UACGUAGGGGGCAAGCGUUGUCCGGAAUUAUUGGGCGUAAAGAGCGUGUAGGCGGUUAGGUAGGUCCGUUGUGAAAACUCGAGGCUCAACCUCGAGACGCCGAUGGAAACCAUCUAACUAGAGUCCGGAAGAGGAGAGUGGAAUUCCUGGUGUAGCGGUGAAAUGCGCAGAUAUCAGGAAGAACACCCGUGGCUAAGGCGGCUCUCUAGUACGGUACUGACGCUGAGACGCGAAAGCGUGGGGAGCGAACAGG
Molecule: ribosomal RNA, 253 nt
Filed under: uncultured bacterium
Lineage: Bacteria
Description: partial 16S ribosomal RNA
Rfam family: Bacterial small subunit ribosomal RNA
Source: RNAcentral